GACGAACGCUGGCGGCGUGCUUAACACAUGCAAGUCGAGCGGAAAGGCCCUUCGGGGUUCGGGUGCGGGGAACGGGAACGUGAGAGUAGAGUAAGAUGAACCUGCCCUUGAGAUAAGGAUAGGUAAAGGAGACUAAUACCAGUAACGAAACAGCGCUGCAGGUGCUCGGUGUGGGAAGUUUAGCGGUUGGGGAUGGGCUCGCGGCUUAUCAGCUUGUUGGUGGGGUGGUGGCAUACCAAGGCGACGACGGGUAGCCGGCCUGAGAGGGCGACCGGCCACACUGGGACUGAGACACGGCCCAGACUCCUACGGGAGGCAGCAGUGGGGAAUAUUGCACAAUGGGCGGAAGCCUGAUGCAGCAACGCCGCGUGCGGGAUGACGGCCUUCGGGUUGUAAACCUCUUUCGGCUGGGACGAAGCGUGAGUGACGGUACCUGGUGAAGAAGCGCCGGCUAACUACGUG
Molecule: ribosomal RNA, 462 nt
Filed under: uncultured bacterium
Lineage: Bacteria
Description: partial 16S ribosomal RNA
Rfam family: Bacterial small subunit ribosomal RNA
Source: RNAcentral